GCCCAGAUGGCGGAACUGGUAGACGCGUCAGACUCAAAAUCUGGUAUCAGCAAUGAUGUGCAGGUUCGAUUCCUGUUCUGGGCACCA
Molecule: transfer RNA, 87 nt
Filed under: Chitinophagaceae bacterium
Lineage: Bacteria; Pseudomonadati; Bacteroidota; Chitinophagia; Chitinophagales; Chitinophagaceae
Also listed under: 2 other names
Description: tRNA-Leu
Rfam family: tRNA
About the family: Transfer RNA (tRNA) molecules are approximately 80 nucleotides in length.
Source: RNAcentral